GUUUGUAUAGAAUUUAAUAAUUUACAUUAUAAUAGAAAUUGUAUUGAAAACCAAUUGCCCAAUUUAGUCCAGUCAAAUCACUAUAAGUACAUGGUCCUGAUCAAAGUAAUCGCAAUAGAUUUUUUUUAAGUGUUAAAGUGUGAGAAAAGGUGUUCUGAUUAACAUAUUAAACUAGAAAUACAUGCAUGCGGUAACCCCUCGCCAAUAUUUUCCAAACAUUAAACUAACAUGAAGUAUUCAGAAAUGGCCCACUGAACGCAGGCUCGUGCUCAAGUGUUGCCAUGACAACAUGAUAUUCUUAAAUUUAAAACUGCAAAAAAGUUGAAAGAUUCGUACUUUUAACUAUACAACAAUAAAUUUCCUAAAUAUAUACUGUAGGAAU
Molecule: non-coding RNA, 382 nt
Organism: Paramuricea clavata
Lineage: Eukaryota; Metazoa; Cnidaria; Anthozoa; Malacalcyonacea; Plexauridae
Source: the annotation of a GenBank genome assembly